RNA transcript from Scleropages formosus (Asian bonytongue), 3036 nucleotides. It is a transcript of the gene named fasciculation and elongation protein zeta 2a, with no coding region annotated. Lineage: Eukaryota; Metazoa; Chordata; Actinopteri; Osteoglossiformes; Osteoglossidae. The transcript has 10 exons. The record is from RefSeq and is a predicted model, not a curated record.
UAAAGACCAGUCUUGUGGAGGGGAAACUUUGCCUUUUCUGCCCUCUGGUACCAGUAGUGAACAACACUAAUUGUAUUUUGACACAUUUGCUACUUGUCUGUAUGUAACAAGGCCGCUGUUAGAACUACACAUUUCCAGUUUAGUGUGAUAACACGGAUGCAAAAAAAGAUUAAUCAUCCUGAUCGUUAGUUUGGCUGCAAAUGUCCAGAAACAUGACACUUUCUGGGGACAAGGAAGAUGCUUCACUUUCUGCGAGGAACAAAUCGCGACUGGAAAACCAGAAAUACCGAGGGUGUGUGAGGUUACAGCAGGGCCAGAGGUCAGAGGUCAGGGGUCGGGGGUUAAAGCGAAGUCUCUCGGAGAAGCCGUAUUUCCCAGUCUGGACGCUAGGGGGCGCGCUCAGGUUGAUGUAGCCCGCGGACAGCGCUCUCCGCUGCAUUCUUCCCCAGUUCGCAAGCGGUGCCGGAUGGUCCAAAGGUUGCGGGUUCGAGGGGAUCUCGCUGUUCUGCGGCAGUCAUGGCGGCGCCGUUGGCGCAGUUCGACGAGGACUGGCAGGACUUCAACGAGUUCCAGCCGUUCUCGGAGGGACAGGGCCGCCUGGACGAGGUGAACUCGAACAAUGUCGGGGACGCGGCGGGCCUGCUGGACGAUUUCUCCGAGCUCGACAACAGCUUCUCGGGCGACGGCAGCAGCUUCAGGUCCGUGGAGGACCUGGUGAAGGACUUCGAGGAGAAGCUCGCUGUUUGCUUCCGCAGCUGCGGCGGCGCCAGGACGGAGAACGUGGCCCCGGUGGUGCCGAUCACAGAAGAGAGCAUGUUGAAGGACGACGAGAUCUGGAAUGCUCUGACAGAUAACUAUGGCAACGUGAUGCCGGUGGACUGGAAGACAUCUCACACCCGGUCACUACACCUCCCCACCUUGAAUCUAAUGGAGAAAGGGAAGCCGGAGAACGCGAACUUGGACCUUUCGGAUGAUGAGGAGCUGAGGGAGCAGCUGGACAUGCACUCGAUCAUCGUGUCCUGCAUCAACGAUGAGCCUCUCUUCACUGCCGAACAGGUGAUUGAGGAGAUUGAGGAGAUGAUGCAGGAGUCGCCAGACCCCGAGGAGUUGGAGGUCCCAUCUCAGUCCGACCUCUCUCUCCUGUCCCAGGAGAUGCACACGCUUCAGAGGUCCUGUACAAGUAGCAGCUAUGAGGAGAGGUUGAAGCACCUGUCCGUGGCAGAGCUGAACGAGCUCUUGGAGGAGGUGGAGGCAGACAUCCGGCAGCACUCGGAGGAGCUGAUCCAGCAAUUGGCACUGAGAGAUGAGCUGGACUUUGAGAAAGAGGUGAAGAACAGCUUCAUCAGCGUUCUCAUCGACGUGCAGAACAAGCAGAAGGAGCACCGUGAGCUCCUGAAGAAGAGGAAGAAGCUCCGUAGCGGAGGAGCCCAGCAGGGCCGCCCAGAGAGAACACAUGCACCAGGAACACGCUUCAGCAUGGAGAGCUUCUCCACCGCCAUUCAGAAUGGCUUCCGCAACACGUUCGGCAGUUCUGGCGGGGACAAACAGUAUCUAACUACCGUCAUCCCCUACGAGAAGAAAGGAGGACCCCCAUCGGUGGAAGACCUCCAGAUUCUAACCAAGAUUCUGCAGGCCAUGAGAGAGGACAGCGAUAAGGUGCCAAGCCUUCUAACAGACUACAUUCUCAAAGUUCUGUGUCCUACGUAGACCACCGAUGAAGGGGAGGUGUGUCCCGGACAACAAAGGAUUUCAUCUCCCAAUAUUGUUUGAAAUGCUGGCGUUCAAUACAUUGAAAGAAAUAGAGGUUGCGAUCAGUCCCAGCUGCUUCUGGACCAUCCCCGACUCCGCCCCUUCUUCCGACCGCCCCGGCGUGCUACACAGCGUAACAGUUGACUGGUUCUUGUUUACACAGGUAGUAAUAGAAGGAUGUUCCAGUGCUCUUUAGGGAAUCUUAACACUAACACUGGCUCCUGACCAUAAACAGUUGGUGUGUUAACUUGAUUUGUUCAUAAAUCCCUUGCCGCAGUUUACAUUUUCAGUUUGAAUAGGAGUUUAUUUUAGUUUUAACUCAGUCUCAUAUAUGCAGUAUGUUUAUCAUUUUAUUAACCAAUACUCAGGAACGCAGUGCUCUCUGGCAAUGGGUUGAAAUAGUGUGCUCCAGCACUUUUGCUUGGGUGUAUUUGCCUGACCCCAUAAAUACAGGUUGCUUUCGCUCUGCAAUAAAUUUUAGAUGUAAAGAUCCUCACGCAUUUGUAACUUCAUAGUAACAGAAGGAGCCAUUUUAAUUCAAUAUUAGAAUUACUCUUCAGUAUUUCUACUUUGUAAGGUGCUUAUUUUAAUUAACGUGCACACUGAGUUAUUGUUUUUGCUGUGAUUUAUACCACAUCUGCCCCCUGAAUAUUCAGGUCCUGAAAAAAUGGCUCUGAUGGCAACUUAUGAUUUCUGCUUGACUGAAGAAUGCUUAAGACAGGGAUUGCUGGUUUAUAUGGAACCCUAGAAGAACAAAUGAAUGUUGACCAGUUGUCUGUGUUGCCUCUGGCAAGUGUUAUUCCAGUAGCAGCUGCCCUAAACAACUGUAGAUCAGUACAAUUCUUGGCCCGAGUGCAAAUGGAAUCAUUCUGGGUUACUGUUGCAGAUCUCUGUGGGAUUGCUCUUGUCAAAGAGACUGUUGUGUAUGUAAAGUACUGUAUAUUUUACCACAUCUGUAGUGUCAUCAAGAUUGCCGUAGUGUGCACAAUACACAGCACUGCAAGCCAGAGGCCAUAGCAGGAUUCUGCCAUGAACUUGUACAGCUCUGCGCUGUAGAUACUACAGUCAUGCACAACAGAAUUAGUAGAAAACACUUCUGUUGUACAGUGAUCAUAUGGCUUUACUUAUUUUCUCUGCUCUGAUAUCCACACAUAUCAACUGAGUGAAAUAGUAAUAAGUUGAUUCUGUAUCUAAAGAUGUAUAUUAAUAUACACAAAAGGCUGCCUUUGCUAAUGCCUGUCAUUUUUACAUAAGUUAUUCAUCUGAAAUAAAGCAUUCUUUUUCUAA